AAAGUACAUAUCGCGGAAUUUUAACGUUCCCUCGUCGCAUCAUAUCGAAAUUUCGUCUUUUUGAUUGAUAUCUUAGUUCCGGAGAGAAAUCUCAAACAUGUCGAUGAUAAAUCUCUGCAUUUCUGCGAUAUUCCGCCCCGUCGAGAUAGCUUCUCGGCUGGGAUUUUACGAGCGUGCAGUGUGCGAUUUCGUCGCAUACACCGCGGUACAGGUCGGAAUCUUCGCGAGCUUUAUUGUUCGUAAUCCAACCCGUAUUUGCCGAACGUCUGAUAAGUCCAACGAACCCCUUUCAUUCGCUCCGCGACGUUUACUCCUCUCGUACUGCAUCCUAACCGCGCACAUGUGUGUCCCUGCGACAAGAGUACGUAGCUGCGAGUUCUCUCGUAUACUCAAUAUUUACCCACCUACAGUUAAUCUGGUGUAGAUAACCCAGUUCGGAGACGAUUGCACGUAAAGCAAGAACCGACGCGACGAGGCAGAGAACGCGUAUGGCCCGGGACGGUUGUCGAUCUUUUAAUGACGGCGUAGAUAACGGAAACACGGGAGUAGUUGCACGUGAAGACUGACGGUUGAUUAAACGUUCCCUCGACAUGCGCAAUUUUUCUAACGAUCGACGAUUUUUUUUUCAAACUACGUUUUCUGUUUAAGGUGUGUCGCUUCUCGUUACAUCUUUCGCGACGACAAAAUAAAUAAGGAAGUGAUAAUAAAUUUUUGCAUGAGGUACAUUUUCCAUGACGCCCCACGCCGCUUAAUCUAAUUAUUAAAACACGAAUUAUAAGUAAGUUUUGUUUAAUUUUCAAGAGAUAGGUCCUGCGUGCUUAUGUGUGCUCAUAUUUAUUCCCUUCUCCGGCACGGGCAUUUAUUUUGUCCCGCAGGUUUUCCGCGGACUCGUGUUUAUGCAACAUAUUUCGAGAUUACCUCAUGGUAAACCAGCAACCUUGCAAAGAUGUAAAUCCUCCGAGCGCGAACAUCCGAAAUGCCAGCGCUUUUUAGUCUCCGACCUCGGCGCUCACGAAUUAGAACCAAUCUAAUUAAACGAGCAACAUGGGAGUUGUCGUACACUAUAGCAGGACUGAUACGGUAUAGUAGGACCACAAGGCGAACAAUUCGGACUAUUCGCCAGAAUGCUGGAGGAUCGGUUGAUCAAGCAAAGAGCACCGAUCAUCAAUGAUGGCUAUGUUCUCGCGUUUGCCAGGCAAAUUCGCCUAUUCAUACCGCGUGUACUUCCUGCUCUAUCUCAUCUCACGGGCAUACGUAAUUACGAGCUCGCUUCGUGCAUUGAGAAUUCACUUGGUCACCGCCUGUGCCGGUUCGCUGUUGAUGGCUCUUGCGAGCCAACCUCGUUCUGAAUCAAGGCGAGCACGGCCCAAUCAAGAACGUUUGCGACCGGUGAAUGACUGCGUCGAACGGUGCGCUUGUCAAAGCGCACACCCGAUAUACAAUCGCCGUGAACUUACACUGUUACAAAGCGCGACACAUUGAUGCGUGGACGUGUAUACGUGCAAACACCGGCGCGCGACGACGCAUGUAUACACGUGCGCUGGAGGGUUGAUGGUUACGGGGAGACAUGUAUCUCUUCGUCCGUCCGUCCGUCCAGCUAUAGGCUACAGGCGGGGUGUGACAGAUUUCACGGGACGACGAGCUAACGAAAAACUAGUCGGCUGUGAGGUGGCGAGAGAGCAGAGACUACAUCUACCUUCCCCGUAGCGUCUCCCCUUCUCGUCUCUCUCAUCCCCAGGACACCCUCGCUUGGCAGCCGUACCCGGUCGCUUUUAUCCGACAUUCCCAGCUACCGCCAGCUGCCACGAGCCAGACACUCGGGGUAUCCGGCUCGAGAAAUAUCGCCUGGCCUCCAUCAUAGGCCUGCAACUGUUGCCUUGGUCGUGGUCGAGAUCCCCAAGUUUUCUUACCCAUCAAGGACCUCCCGAGCUCGUCCUAACGAGAAUCCUUGUUGCGCAGUGGAAAAAGGGAGUCCUGGACGUCGUAAGCCGACCCGGUACUCCUCGCUCGCAGUAGUAAAGGCCUUUACGAUCCGCCUGGCCGAUAAUUAGAGAAACGUCCACGCCUCGUCCGUUUUCUCCCGACACGGCUCUCGCGCCAUUUAUUUUGUCCCGCCGACACUGGAUUUGCUACAAAAGUCGUGACUGCUUGUCCUGCGACAAGUUAAGAUCGGCUUACGCUUAAAGUGGCUUUCAACGGCGUAAAACGCAGACAGCUGUCCCGACGCUUUCCAUGCGUUUAAUGUUACUCGACGUUCAAUGCGAUGACGUGUAAUUUUGCGCGGGGAAUUGAAUGUCGGAACGAAACGUAUACAAUAUCCUUUGUGCGCGUACUGAAUAUAUUCUGAGGAGUAAAAAAUUAAAGUGCUUAUAUAAUGUUUUACAUCAUGCUUAAUGCAAUUCGCAAUAACGUGUUUUUUUUUAUUUCGAUGGACAAGCGCACAUGUAAAAAGUGCAUACUCAUACACAAAAUAAUAACCAUCUUUCUCGCUUUCCUUUUUGAGAAAAGCACUUUUAACAAAAGUGAGUAUUUUAACUAACUAUAGCUUUGUUACCAAUAUGUAAAAAUAAUCUGAAGAUUGUACGUCUUCAUUCUUUAUUUCAAAAGAUUGGUAUUUAAGUAUGCUGUAUAGUAUACUGUAUUGUGUCGUAUUAUAACCGAACUGUAUUUAGUACAAACAAGGAAUUCCGGUAUGGCGGUUUGUCCUAUAGGUGACAGCUGCUCGAUCAACGUUCCGGUUUCCUAACACAUAGAGCCCUUUGUACACGCAAUAAGUCUAUCGGGUGUCGUACAGGGUGUUGUACCGGUCUCAAGCGAUUCAGAUUCCGUGUGUCAAUAUGUAACCACUUGAAAUGAAGCGCUGCUUGAUUUAUUGAUCGAUAUGUUCUACCUGUCUCAGAAGCUCGCUUUGCAGCAAACACGAUAUACGUGAUUAGAUCCCGAGAAGCUGAGGAUUAAAGGAGCUUCUCAAACGUGUCUUAUAUGCGAAAAUAUAUAUGCGCGUAAAUACUUUCUAAUUUACUAUAAAUUAUGUAAAAAGAAUGGAAAAUUGAAAAAUGUUUGCGAUAAAACAUAGUUUAUUACACAAUACAUUAAUUUAAACAUGCAUGCUUUUUUAGAUACUUGAAGUAAAAGGUUCUUUUAAGUUUUAUAAAAUUAUUUUAGCAACCUGAUAUUUUUAUCCUGUAUUUUUAUCCCAUAUUUUUGUCCCUUUCAUACAGUUCCUCCCUCAGCUUUGUUUAUCUGCAAGCUCUCAAGACUUUGAAUGCUCAAUCGCUGUUUCAUUGACAGUCGCGCGCAUUCAAGAAAAUCUAUGAAGCACCUGCGUUUCUUAAUCGUCAAAGAGAAAAAGUGAGAGAGAAGUUCGUAGAUAUAAUCUGAUUUAUGUAAUUUUCUCUUCUCAUUCAUUUUGUUCAUACAGCGUGCACCCUUAUCAGUCGCACAGCAGUUCGCGACUUUCAUCAGGUGUAUUAUUGUCUCUUGCUGCGUUUGCGAAUAGCCCGAAAAAUUCAAAAGUCGGCAGAGAUGUCGUAAUUCCACAGAGAGAGAGAUUAAAGAGUGAAGCCGCCUGAGGGAUCCUCCACAGCAAGCAGAAACUGCAUGCACCUUCCUAGCAAAGUUUGAGCAAGUUAGGUAGGAUCUUGUUCUUUUCUCUUAUCGACUAUUUUCGAGCCCAUGUCCUUUUCAAGUGCAUCUGGCAUCUGCGUGCUUCUUCUUCACAUUUCACGUCUCGCAGCAUAACUUUCGUAAUUUCGUCUCUCUAUCGUGAUCUCUUCUUGUCCGUAUGAUAGAAAUCGGUCGCCUAACAUGAGAUGUUUGGAUAGUUCGAAAAGUAAGUUGCGUUGAUUUAAACUUUAAGAAUUUUAAACUUUAAGAAUUUAUUCUUCACAAAUCGGCGAUUCAAACAUUCCGAAUACAAUUCGCAAGAGAAUUAUAGAAACAAGUAAACUGUAAAAAGUGCUUUUUUAAAUAUUAAAAUUAAAAUUUCAUUGUGCACUUUUUUAUAAUAUAAAUUUAUUGUGCACUUUGCUAGAGAAGUAUGUAUUCUGUGUUAUUCGGCAGUGUUAUGUAUACAUAUCUGAAAUACAUUAUUUCGAUAUUUUUAUUUCAAUAUUUUCAACAAUGUUUUACAUAUCUAUAUUUUAUGUGACAAGAUUUUACGAUUUGAUUUCACAUUUGAUAUUUUAAAUUCAAUUAAAUUAUCACGCUGUUUUACAGCGCCACUAUAAUUUAUAUGUUAAUAAAAUUGUACAAUAUUACAGCAUCUCUUGAAUAGUUCGUGAUCGUAAAAUAAAGAGUAGCAAUCUGUAUGACGAAAGCGUUAAAUUUCAUUAGAGAAAGCAUAUAAAACAUAACAUCAAAAAUGCAGUUUGCUGUGUAUCAAGUUAUCGUAUUUACGUUAUUAGCCUUUCUAAUUCUGCAGACUGCUGCUUUUUAUAGCUGCUGAAAAACGCAUUUCUCCGUGCCGAGAAAUUUUUAGCCACCCUUUACCUAACAAUGUUUGGCUCUGAUGUAACUCAACUGUCGUUAUUUUCCUCUUGCAUUCAUAUUAUUGUGGUGGAUUUUUAGAAAAGUUAUAUGACGUAAUUAGUUCAGGGAUUAAAUAUACGCAGACGAUGUGGAAUGUGCUUAUUUAACGCGAAACAGCUCAAAAAGCGUAUAAAUAUUACAUGUAAUAUUUGCUCGCAUAGUUAUGAUAUCAUAAAAAAAUAUCAACGAAGUAUUUUAUCAAGGUAUUAUUUAAACGAAUUAUUUAAAAUCAAUCUGUUAUUUUAUUAUUUUCAAAACCGAUUUUAUAUGUAUGCAUGUAUGCGUGCCUCUAUACAUGUAUCUAUGUAUACAUGAUAUAAAAAUUUAUAAAAGUAAUAAAAGAUGACUAAUAAAAGAUUCGGUUAUUUUAUCAAUUUUAACAACUUUGCUCAGAGAAUGAUUUAUUCAUAAUUUAAUGUAAAUUAUGGUUUAUAUUAUUUAUUGCUCAUAAAUGUAUUUCACACGGUUUAACACAGAAUCUUGUCGAGCGUUAGGAUCAUGAAUAUUAUGAACUGAUCAUUAACGCCCAGCGGCGUAUCCAUCUGGAAAAACAGAAUCAAUUUUUCCUCGUCGUCAUGUAAUGCAGUUUACGCGACGCUAUUAAAAAAGUUAUUUCGCGUCCAGCGACGUUGAAUACACGUCUGAUCCUUCAACGUCCGACGAAAUCAUAUCACCUGAAUUUACUCCGAUUUGACCGCUCCGCGAACCUUCUGAUUAGCGCUUUGACUAGUGAUCCGAUUAUCCGUUGAUUGCAUCCUCGAUGUCACUGUCAUGCAGCCGGCUAGAAAAAGAAAUAUGACACGUCCGAGCAUCUUUAAUAUGCUUAACGUCUUUAACGUUCUCGGACUCCUUUCGCAUCGUUAUCCACUCGCACGUUCGCUUACUAAUCGGAUGCUCUCAGAGUAGUCGAGAUGUUUCUUUUUUCUCGUUUUGCUGUAUGAGCUCGAUUGUACAAAACGUAUCAAGUUGAAUUAAGUAAAACAAGAGUUUCCGAGCAAUUUAAAAGUUCUUCCGGUAACUAUCGGCAGCGUCACGUUACUUGCGACUGAGCCUGUGUUAAAGCUACUGUCACGAACUGUGUCCCUUUUCAAAGAAAGUCCGAAAGUCGUCCUAACGACACGGUCGCGUGGAUCAGUCGCGAACAUUUUUCUUCCCGUCCUUCUGCAUUUAUCCGGUUACCUCGAUUUUUUACAACGCCGGAAGGGACGAAGAGCAAAGAGACAUCGAUCAAAAGUAGAAAUUGGCUGUGAUCAUAAAAACUUUGUUCACUGACGAAGUUCGCUCUAAGAUUUCACAGGAAAUAACUAUGCAAAAUAAUGUAUGGUUAUUAAAGCAAUUAACAUAAGAUAAUUGCUCCUGAAAAAAUACAUGGCACAAAAGUUGUUAGAAAUGCAAAUAACGCUAGAGAAUUCUUUGUUAAGUGACGUUGAUUAUAAUCGGGAUAAUGUUUUGUUGGAAAUUACAAAGCAAAACUAUAAUUACUUCGAGCACGAUGAAAGUACUAAAUGGGUGUAAUGAGCUUUCCAGCUUGUAAAUUAGUUAUUAGCUGCCAACGGGAAAGAGGAUUUCGGAAUAAGCUCUGAAAUAAGAGAGAGCUUAACAAAUUCAAUAAAAGAGUAUAGUCUUAUGCGUCGUGUUAAUUUUCCGUCGUGUGUAAUGCAUCCUACGUCGGAAACUUUUGUUUUAACAAGUUGACAAUUUCAUAAAAAAAUUUCAAAAUAAUAUAUUAUAUUAUAAAUAUUAUUCGUGGAGGAUAGCUAUUUCUGUAGCGUAUUAUAAAUUGCUUAAAAUGGACUAACUCUUCUUAACUAAUAUUUAAAUAAAUUUUCGUAUUUCAGAUGAUUAAAUAAAUGUUUGUUUUUUUUAUUUGUAUUGUAUAUAGACUAGACUAUAAUCUAAAAAGAAUAUCGCAAAUUAUUAAAUAAUUUAACGAGAAUUGAUGUGCUUAGGCUGUAGACCGUCCAAAUAUUAACACAUGCUUUUCUUUGUGAUAUUUCACUCUGAAAUAUUCUUAUUUUUUUAUUCAAUCUGCCAGCCAGAAAGAUCUAACUGCGAAAGGGUAAGACGAAAGCUUUCCGAAAAAGUUAAGGAUAGAUUCGUAAUGAAGCGGAUCAGAAGGUCUGCAGACUAAACGACGACCUAAGAACUCUCUCAGGUCACCUUGAAGACAACAAUAGCUUGCUCUACUCGAUCCUCUGCUUUACGAUUAUGGAGAAAUGCAUCGCCCAAACCGUCCAGUAGGACACUCCCUCGCGUCCGUUCAUUAACGUCUGCGGCAGGGAUAACGCUGAUGCUGCUGUUGCUGUUGUUGCUGCCGUCGCCAUCGAGCUUACCCCCGUGUUAACCCCCGUACAGCAUUCGCGAUUCGACAAAUACGAUUACCUGCUCUCACCCUCUGAUGCCCAAGUUGGGCUGAACCGAGUAGUGCUUGUGGAUGUACAAACUUGUCCUAGAUAUCGGGGUUCAACCCUUUAACUCCUCUCUCUUCUUUUUUCUUUCUGGCUUUCUCUUUUCCCUCUCGUUUUCUCUGUCUCUGUCUUUCUUUCUUCCUCUCAUCGUUGCAAGCCUUCCGCACCAAACUUUUUGAGGCUCCCCUCAGUAAUCCGUCGAGUUCCGGCGGCGUGCAAUCGGUUAUCUCAUCUCCUUCAUUCUCCUUCUUCUUCUCUCCCUCUCUCUUUUCUCUCCUUCUUCCAUCUUUUAUAAUAUUUAUUUUCUCAUUCUUCCUUAUUUUUUAAAUCUCGAUUGUCAAUUAUCCGCGAAAAGACAUUUAUGUUACAACCUCCGUUACGUUUCGCUCGUUGUUACACGUCCAGUUGAUUUUUUAAUAUCAUCUUGGAGUGAUCAAUGUGGCUAAGAAAAUUCAUUAUAAUACGGAAGCCCGACCAGGAAGAUCUUAUACAUGUAUUUGGUUGCACAAUUAAGAAUCUAAAUGUAUUUAAUUAUCCCUUUUCUCUCUAUUGUUUUAUUUAAUUUAUUUAUGUCCCUUCUCAUGUGUUACUACUUGAUAUAGAAGAUUACUCGGUAAUAGGAGCACUUCGCAAGAUCACAUGUUACAUUUUGUAGAAUAUCAUUACUCGACGCGGGAGUUAUCUCAUAACGCGUCCUGUAGUUGUAAUUGUAAUUAUGUUUUGUAAUUGCGCUUCGAUACUUUGUUGAACACUAUUAACGCGUACGUCGUCAACGUAGCGUGUAGCCGGCCAAACUUUUAGUUCUGUAUAAGUGUCAAAUAUGCACGACAAGUUAAUUUACUCAACUUAAUACCGUGUUUCCGUCUGCUUACUCGCCACGUUGAAUAUUGUCGCGUCCAACUUUGGUGAAAUUGCGUAUUAUCUCGCGCAGAACUGAUCGUAGAGUUUACAUGACUAUGCGCACAGGGGAGAACAAGUCCACGCGACAUGAGAAAAUAACCACAUAUAUAGGCUUAGCGCAUCGACUUUGAAUCUUUCUCCCUUUCUUUGCUUCAUCCAUCAUACCACUUAUCGUCCUGUAAUUAUCCUGUCAGUCAUUCAUAGCACCCCUAUAUUCCAUUACGUGUUUCGUGUUUUCAUUUCGCGGCACCCAACAACAUACGUCUAUCAUCGAAACGCUUUUGAUAAACGUCUUGAGAUUCUUACAAAAGUAAUGUAUCUGGGUUAUUCUAACAAGAUCUCUCGUGCUCGUUGUAUCAAACAUUGCAAUUUAUGUUAAUUAAAUGCAUAUCUAAUUAUAAAAUGAUAAAUAACAAUAUUUUGUAGAAAUUAAAAUCUGCGUUUUGUUUCAAUAUUGCUAAUGUAGCUCCAUUAGUAAAUUUAGCGCAAUUUACAAUUAGUAAAUUUCACUUUGUAUUAUAAACAGUAUGCUGAAUCGCACGCGUGUGUUCAUUUGCAGAAAGGUAGUAUAUCCUGGCUAUUUUUACUUUCUGUGACAGCGUACAUGUAAUUAUCAUUAUAUAUUAAUAUAUAAUUCAUACAUAUUCAUUAUGUGUAUUUAUAUAUAAUAAUUAAUAAUUCACACAUAUAGUGUACUAGUUAAUUAUUUCGCGUAGAAUUUAAUGAACGCUUUGGGCUAUUGCCCAACUGUCUGCUCAAAUCUGCCACGCGAUAAUGAUGCAGCAAAAUAUAUAGUCUCAUGAAUCACGGUUUAUUACACGUCAAGAAAAUUUUUGGUGGAUCAGAAUGUGUUGUUCUAACUCAUUAAAUUUUAAUAGCCUUACUAAUAGACUUUCAUUAAGUAAAUAAUAAAAUAAAAAUUUUUAAUUAGAUUCAAAGUUAACUUCGUUAAUUUUCUCAACUUCUUAAAAGAAGGUGAAUUAUAUCUUUAUUGUACUCUUCUCUUUUCUUCCUUUCAUUGUAUCAGAAGCUUUAUUUCCAUAACAAACGUAACGAGGAACCGUUUCUUCGGAUAUCUCGACAUUUCCGGCAAUUAAGAAGGGAAUUCACUGGGAGAGCAGUUUUCGUAUAACGAAGCCAAACGACCGGUAGACCGCGAUCCGCAACUUGCUGCGCAUACAAGCUGAUUAUGCAACCGAGAGCGAGGGCUCUCGUUGACUGCUUAGCGCAUAAUGCAGCGCAGUGGACCGAGGACGCGGAAUACGCGGGAUGGCAUGUUCAAUAAGCGGCGUUUUAAUUUGCUAUCGAUUGCUAAGGCAAUGCCGCGGAUUAUCAGGGAGAGAUCAUACGUAGCUCAACAAUUCCAUUGCGUAACAACCGCUCGGCGUACAUAUGCGCACGCGGUGCACCCUGCAUACUUGCUUUGGGCAACAGCACUGCUAAUUACAUUCGACUUCCCCGUACGUCGUCGUCGUAUAACGCAGUUAUUAUCAACCGGUUAGCACACUUUCCCACGUAGCCAGCUGAAAAUGACAUUUUCAUCAAGGACCCUUUCUCGAGAAUCUUUGAAGAAUAUCAGUCAGAAACAUGUAAUUGCUUAAGACACUUGCUCGUGUUAUUCUCGGGGAAAUCUUUGAACGAGCAAAGUCAACAGUUGUACAUAUAGAUAUAAUUAUCUAUUAUUUAUAAUAAUUUAUAAUAGAUAAUAAAUAUCGAUAACUAUUAAUUACUCUCUUUAAUAUUAAUUAUUCCUAUCUUCUGUUGUCACAUAAAUCGAAUUUAGAACCUUUAUAAUAUUAUAUAGUACCUUAUAUAUCACUGCCUCUUCCGUUAUUGGAAAAUUAUAUUCAAGCGUUCACGCUUAUUUUCAAAAAAAAUACUGUAUGUCUAUAAAUAUUACACUUGUGUAAAUAACAGUAGUCUGUAUCUGCUAGAGUCUUGCUACGAAAUCGUGACACCUAUUCUUUUUAAGUAAUAUUUUCCUAUUUGGUUUGUCAGUUAAUCUAUUUGGGGUGAAUAUUGGACGAAGAGAGAAAGACCUGGCCGACAAACGACGUUUUAAUUUCAUAUCGAUUAGAAACCCCAGGGCAGAUUACAGGCGGAUCGCGUGGGCCAAUAGUUUCAUCGACACGACGGAUAUAGUAGGGCUUAGCUUUAUACGAGGUAAACGGGUGACAAAGCAUGUUUCUCGAACGAUGAGUACUGUGUAACAGGGUAAUUAAGGUCGCAGGUGCAUUAAACGGAGAAACACGAUGCAGCUUUUUCGAGCCUACGUUCACACAGCGCGUUUAUUGAUGUAUUGUCAAGGUAAAAGAUCGGGAAAACUUUGAAGUCUCAAUUCACGCUGGAUGCGUUUAAUAAUCGUGCGCUAUAAAAAUUAUUGAUGAAAAAGAAUUAGCUUUGUGCGGUCAUGAUAUAACUGAUAUCUCGUUUUUUUUAUAAUUGGUUGAUAUUAGUAACGCUAUUUUAGAUAUACAAUGUUUUUAUUCGUCUUUUCUGAAAUGGAGACUGUAGUUUUAGGUAGAAUAAAUCACGAAAUAUUCAUUUUGAAAAAUUAUGCAUGUUUAUGUUAGGUGCAUGUUAUAUUUUUAGUUUAAGUGAUAUCGGGUGAGAUGUGAGUAUACAUUACAUUAUCUAUUAUGAUUGUGAAUUACGUUACUAAGAAAUCUUUCGCAUUUGGCAUGUCGACGAAUGAAGAUUGAAUCAAUUUGUGAGUCGUGUUAUAUUGCAUCGAUGAAACUGUAUUGCCAACAUUUGAUUAUCUGAACCGCAGAAGUUGACAAUACGCGAUUGGAUCAACUAUCUCUUUCUCAAUUACUCACGUACAAUCGAAAAAAAAGAACGAAUAUUUGUUCCAAAAAAAUAACGAAAAAUCAGACAGAAAAACGAAUCUGCAAUGCGUUUAUUUAUACUCUAGUGAAAAAACAUGACAGUUUAUAUUCGAAAUUUAGUAAUUGCACCAAAUUAGGGCAAUAUAGAACAUAUCAUGUAUGAAUGUUAUUAUUGGAUAUUAUUAUCCCUCUAAUAUUAAACAAAUAUUAUUUCUGUAAAUAAAAUGUAUCUUAUAUAGUAA
Long non-coding RNA from Ooceraea biroi (clonal raider ant), 10911 nucleotides. RefSeq lists it as uncharacterized. NCBI's taxonomy places the organism in Eukaryota, Metazoa, Arthropoda, Insecta, Hymenoptera, Formicidae. The record is from RefSeq and is a predicted model, not a curated record.